This 252-nucleotide ribosomal RNA is filed under the name uncultured bacterium. Its description in RNAcentral is "partial 16S ribosomal RNA". It matches the Rfam family "Bacterial small subunit ribosomal RNA", at positions 524 to 776 of the family's 1533-position model. The record is from RNAcentral.
UACGUAGGGGGCAAGCGUUGUCCGGAAUUAUUGGGCGUAAAGCGCGCGCAGGCGGCUUUGUAAGUCUGGUGUUUAAACCUAGGGCUCAACCCUGGGUCGCAUUGGAAACUGCAAGGCUUGAGUGCAGAAGAGGAGAGUGGAAUUCCACGUGUAGCGGUGAAAUGCGCAGAUAUCAGGAGGAACACCGGUGGCGAAGGCGGAUCUCUGGGUCUGAUCUGACGCUGAGGCGCGAAAGCUAGGGGAGCGAACAGG